UACAAUCUUUAUUAACCCAUGUUAAAAAGAUAAAAGCUCCGGCGGUGUAAAAUGAGCGUGCGUCCUAUCAGCUAGUUGGUGAGGCAAUGGCUCACCAAGGCUACGAUGGRUAGGGGUUCUUAGUGGAAGAUCCCCCACACUGGCACUGAGAUACGGGCCAGACUCCUACGGGAGGCAGCAGUWGGGAAUAUUGGUCAAUGGGCGCAAGCCUGAACCAGCCAUGCCGCGUGCAGGAUGAAAGCUCUCUGAGUUGUAAACUGCUUUUGUACAGGAGCAAAACAAUCCCUGCGGGGAUUCUUGAGAGUACUGUAAGAAUAAGCACCGGCUAAUUCCGUGCCAGCAGCCGCGGUAAUACGGAAGGUGCAAGCGUUAUCCGGUUUUAUUGGGUUUAAAGGGUGCGUAGGCGGCUUAUUAAGUCAAUUGUGAAAUCCUAGUGCUUAACGCUAGAACUGCAAUUGAUACUAUUAGGCUUGAGUUAAGAAUAGGUAAGUAGAAUUUAUGGUGUAGUAGUGAAAUGCUUAGAUAUCAUAAGGAAUACCAAUAGCGUAGGCAGCUUACUGGUCUUUAACUGACGCUGAGGCACGAAAGCGUGGGGAGCAAACAGGGUUAGAUACCCUGGUAGUCCACGCCGUAAACGAUGAUCACUCGAUAUACAUAAACUUUAUGUGUGUCUAAGCGAAAGCGUUAAGUGAUCCACCUGGGGAGUAUACUCGCAAGGGUGAAACUCAAAGGAAUUGACGGGGGUCCGCACAAGCGGUGGAGUAUGUGGUUUAAUUCGAUAAUACGCGAGGAACCUUACCUGGGCUAGAAUGUAUUUUGCUACUUUGAA
This 829-nucleotide ribosomal RNA is filed under the name Encarsia citrina endosymbiont. Its description in RNAcentral is "bacterial SSU rRNA". It matches the Rfam family "Bacterial small subunit ribosomal RNA", at positions 173 to 1005 of the family's 1533-position model. Lineage: Bacteria; Pseudomonadati; Bacteroidota. The record is from RNAcentral.